RNAcentral lists this transfer RNA (75 nucleotides) under Priestia megaterium. RNAcentral describes it as "Bacillus megaterium tRNA-Gly". It matches the Rfam family "tRNA". Rfam says of the family: Transfer RNA (tRNA) molecules are approximately 80 nucleotides in length. Their secondary structure includes four short double-helical elements and three loops (D, anti-codon, and T loops). Lineage: Bacteria; Bacillati; Bacillota; Bacilli; Caryophanales; Bacillaceae. The record is from RNAcentral.
GCGGAAGUAGUUCAGUGGUAGAACAGCACCUUGCCAAGGUGGGGGUCGCGAGUUCGAACCUCGUCUUCCGCUCCA